GUGCCAGCAGCCGCGGUAAUACGGAGGGUGCGAGCGUUAAUCGGAAUUACUGGGCGUAAAGCGUGCGUAGGCGGUUAGUUAAGUCAGAUGUGAAAGCCCCGGGCUUAACCUGGGAACGGCAUUUGAUACUGGCUAACUUGAGUUUAGGAGAGGAGAGUGGAAUUUCCGGUGUAGCGGUGAAAUGCGUAGAGAUCGGAAGGAACACCAGUGGCGAAGGCGGCUCUCUGGCCUAAAACUGACGCUGAGGUACGAAAGCGUGGGUAGCAAACAGGAUUAGAUACCCUGGUAGUCCACGCCGUAAACGAUGUCAACUAGCCGUUGGGUCUUUAUUGAGACUUAGUGGUGCAGCUAACGCAUUAAGUUGACCGCCUGGGGAGUACGGCCGCAAGGUUAAAACUCAAAUGAAUUGACG
RNAcentral lists this ribosomal RNA (412 nucleotides) under uncultured bacterium. RNAcentral describes it as "bacterial SSU rRNA". It matches the Rfam family "Bacterial small subunit ribosomal RNA", at positions 505 to 915 of the family's 1533-position model. The record is from RNAcentral.